This 440-nucleotide ribosomal RNA is filed under the name uncultured bacterium. RNAcentral's name for it is "partial 16S ribosomal RNA". It matches the Rfam family "Bacterial small subunit ribosomal RNA", at positions 338 to 795 of the family's 1533-position model. The record is from RNAcentral.
CCUACGGGUGGCAGCAGUGGGGAAUAUUGCACAAUGGGGGAAACCCUGAUGCAGCGACGCCGCGUGAAGGAAGAAGGCUUUCGGUAUGUAAACUUCUAUCAGCAGGGAAGAAAAUGACGGUACCUGACUAAGAAGCCACGGCUAACUACGUGACAGCAGCCGCGGCAAUACGUAGGGGGCAAGCGUUAUCCGGAUUUACUGGGUGUAAAGGGAGCGUAGGCGGCAUGGCAGGUAUGGUGUGAAAGGCAGGGGCUCAACCCCUGGACUGCAUGUGAAACUGUCAGGCUUGAGUGCAGGAGAGGUAAGUGGAAUUCCUAGUGUAGCGGUGAAAUGCGUAGAUAUUAGGAGGAACACCAGUGGCGAAGGCGGCUUACUGGACUGUAACUGACGCUGAGGCUCGAAAGCGUGGGGAGCAAACAGGAUUAGAUACCCCUGUAGUC